GUAAGAUUUUGGUACAGAGGCUGCUAAAGACUUCUGAGGUUCCAGCUCUUAAUACCUGAAGCAUAAGGCCUAUCCCUUAAGAAAUCUGGAAAAGAGGGAAAUUUGUGAAACUGCCUUUCUGGAUUGAACCAAUGUUAAGUAAACAUGAUUAAUUACUGGAGCAAAUUAACAGAGGAAAUGAUAGCUCUUCUAACAUUUCAAGUUUUCAGAUGGUGUCUGGUGCCUGACUGGUGGACAUCUCUUAGCUAAACACAAAUUUAGGGGCUUCAUACAAUUGCUUUGGAGCUCUAUGGCUCGUAUAAUAGAUUUCAGACUCAAGAGUUUCAAACCAGCAGGUGGGAGAUGGGCAACGGAGGACUUGGAGUCAUCCCUCCCUUGCUGUGUGGCUAUAACCACCAAACACGAGACCUGCAUGUCACACCGUCUGCCCCCACAGAAGGAAAGCUAAGGAAUUACUUCAAGGAAAAAGCUGAAGUGAAUAAAGUGAGAAUCACUUAGAUUAAGGAAGAAUGAACUUUGAUAAAACCGGCUGAAGCGCAGUAGUGAUGGAACCAGAACUGACUUCAGCAUGUAACAAUCCAACACUACAAACCACCCUCCUGCUGCACCCAACGUCACCCACCUGCCGCACCACACCAAAGCCCGAUCCUGUUUUGCCAACUGAGCAGACUUUGCACCAUCCUUUUUGUCCAGACACUUAUGACAGAUGGAGCCCGAAGUCAUGGACUGAAUCAACUCAACAUUUUAUAGAGAUGGCCCGUAGACUGUGGGAAUGAUAUGUGUGUGUAUAUAUUAAAAGACAGGAAAAGCGGUGGUGAUUAACCGGAAAUGUAUCGGGAAGUGUGGGAUUUGGGCAUGAUGUAAAUGGUGUAGAAUAAGGGGUGGAUAUUGUCCUGGGUUUGGCUGGGAUAGAGUUAAUUUUCUUCUUAGUAGCUGGUACAGUGUGUUUUGAAUUUAGUGUGAGAAUAAUGUUGAUAACACACUGAUGUUUUCAUUGUUGCUAAGUAGCACUUAGGAUAAGUUAAGAAUUGUUCAGUUUCCCAUGCUCUGCCAGCAAGCAGGUGUACAAGAAGCUGGGAGGGACCAUGGCCAGGAAAACUGACCUGACCUAGCCAAAGGGAUAUUCCAUACCAUAGGAUGUCAUGCUCAGUAUAUAAACUGGGGGGAGUUG
This is a long non-coding RNA of Harpia harpyja (harpy eagle), 1171 nucleotides long. RefSeq lists it as uncharacterized. NCBI's taxonomy places the organism in Eukaryota, Metazoa, Chordata, Aves, Accipitriformes, Accipitridae. The transcript is spliced from 4 exons. The record is from RefSeq and is a predicted model, not a curated record.